UACUGGAAACGGUAGCUAAUACCGCAUAACGUCGCAAGACCAAAGAGGGGGACCUUCGGGCCUCUUGCCAUCGGAUGUGCCCAGAUGGGAUUAGCUAGUAGGUGGGGUAACGGCUCACCUAGGCGACGAUCCCUAGCUGGUCUGAGAGGAUGACCAGCCACACUGGAACUGAGACACGGUCCAGACUCCUACGGGAGGCAGCAGUGGGGAAUAUUG
This 216-nucleotide ribosomal RNA is filed under the name Escherichia coli. Its description in RNAcentral is "partial 16S ribosomal RNA". It matches the Rfam family "Bacterial small subunit ribosomal RNA", at positions 148 to 366 of the family's 1533-position model. The record is from RNAcentral. Lineage: Bacteria; Pseudomonadati; Pseudomonadota; Gammaproteobacteria; Enterobacterales; Enterobacteriaceae.